Molecule: transfer RNA, 74 nt
Filed under: Myxococcales bacterium
Lineage: Bacteria; Pseudomonadati; Myxococcota; Myxococcia; Myxococcales
Description: tRNA-Gly
Rfam family: tRNA
About the family: Transfer RNA (tRNA) molecules are approximately 80 nucleotides in length.
Source: RNAcentral
GCAGAUGAAGUGUUGUGGUGACACGUCGGUUUGCCAGACCGGCAUCGCGGGUUCGAUUCCCGCCAUCUGCUCCA